CCCCUCUCAGGGAUGCACCUGGAGAGUUUCCAGUUCUCUACCAGUCUCAACUGCAGGAGGGACAGUCAAGCAAAGACCUACCCAUUCCAUUCCUAGUUUGAGCAGUAGCUAGAGAGUGGAAGGCCAUCUGCUCCAAGU
Molecule: non-coding RNA, 138 nt
Organism: Ornithorhynchus anatinus (platypus)
Lineage: Eukaryota; Metazoa; Chordata; Mammalia; Monotremata; Ornithorhynchidae
Source: Rfam